AUCACCUGGGGAUCUUGUUAAAUUGCAGAUUCUGAUUCAUGAGGUCUGGGGUGGGGCCCAAGAUUCUGCAUUUCUAACAAGCUCCCUGGUGAUACCAGU
Molecule: microRNA precursor, 99 nt
Filed under: Tursiops truncatus (common bottlenose dolphin)
Lineage: Eukaryota; Metazoa; Chordata; Mammalia; Artiodactyla; Delphinidae
Description: miRNA (ENSTTRG00000024849.1)
Rfam family: mir-544 microRNA precursor family
Source: RNAcentral